Molecule: ribosomal RNA, 326 nt
Filed under: uncultured eukaryote
Lineage: Eukaryota
Description: partial 18S ribosomal RNA
Rfam family: Eukaryotic small subunit ribosomal RNA
Source: RNAcentral
CCCUUAGAUGUUCUGGGCCGCACGCGCGCUACACUGAUAAUGUCAACAAGCUUUACCUUGGCCGAUAGGUCUGGGCAAUCUUCGAACUAUUAUCGUGAUGGGGCUAGAUUAUUGCAACUAUUAAUCUUAAACGAGGAAUUCCUAGUAAGCGCGAGUCAUCAGCUCGCGUUGAUUACGUCCCUGCCCUUUGUACACACCGCCCGUCGCUCCUACCGAUUGGAUUGGCUGAUGAAGCGUUCGGAUUGUGGGUUCGGAGCGGUUCGCCGUUCUGGGCUUGCGAGAAGUUCGUUAAACCCUCCUAUCUAGAGGAAGGAGAAGUCGUAACA